This 503-nucleotide ribosomal RNA is filed under the name uncultured bacterium. RNAcentral describes it as "partial 16S ribosomal RNA". It matches the Rfam family "Bacterial small subunit ribosomal RNA", at positions 30 to 523 of the family's 1533-position model. The record is from RNAcentral.
AUUGAACGCUGGCGGCAGGCUUAACACAUGCAAGUCGAGCGGGGUGAUGGUGCUUGCGCUAUCACUUAGCGGCGGACGGGUGAGUAAUGCUUAGGAAUCUGCCUAUUAGUGGGGGACAACAUCUCGAAAGGGAUGCUAAUACCGCAUACGUCCUACGGGGGAAAGCAGGGGAUCACUUGUGACCUUGCGCUAAUAGAUGAGCCUAAGUCGGAUUAGCAAGUUGGUGGGGUAAAGGCCUACCAAGGCGACGAUCUGUAGCGGGUCUGAGAGGAUGAUCCGCCACACUGGGACUGAGACACGGCCCAGACUCCUACGGGAGGCAGCAGUGGGGAAUAUUGGACAAUGGGGGGAACCCUGAUCCAGCCAUGCCGCGUGUGUGAAGAAGGCCUUAUGGUUGUAAAGCACUUUAAGCGAGGAGGAGGCUCUUUUGGUUAAUACCCAGAAUGAGUGGACGUUACUCGCAGAAUAAGCACCGGCUAACUCUGUGCCAGCCGCCGCCGUAA